Molecule: non-coding RNA, 807 nt
Organism: Pelobates cultripes (western spadefoot toad)
Lineage: Eukaryota; Metazoa; Chordata; Amphibia; Anura; Pelobatidae
Source: the annotation of a GenBank genome assembly
CUUUCAACCAUUUUGGAUGUAUUAUUACUGAAUGGCGCUCAGAGCACACACAUACAGUUCAAUUGCCAUGGAGCCAAAGUCUUUCCCAUAGUCUUUCAUUAUACGAAUGGGCUCCAUGGCAUAGCUAUCUGGGGUAUCACCGCUCAAACAGGGCAAGCACCGAAUGACCUGACUUUCGUGUCUUCGCAGGGGAAAAUCAAGCAUUUCAACAUGGGGCCAUAGUCUAAAGGCAGCAGGCGGGCAACCAGGCUCCUCCAAUGCACAGUGGCGAGAUUGGUCUCGUCACAAUCACCAUAUAUAUGUCCACAUAGGGAAUGUGGGGUCUGGGACUCCCUGAGCAGUCCAGGCCCCCCAGGACCGCCGGGCCUGUGACAACCAUCACAUCCAUAUUUCCCUCCCUUUCUCAUGGCAGGCAGCUUUUAGACUAACAGAGCCUGCGUCCAGUUCUAGCCCACACAUUUUUGGCCCCACUCCCUAACGUUUACCUCACAUAGCAGGGGAAGGGGACGUCUGGACAUCCACACCGGUGGCGUGCUGAUUCAGAAUGAGCGCCAGGUGUCACGUGACUCCUACGCAGGGCAGGAGGCGCUCCCCCUCCCAGUGUAGAGUGCGUGCGGUAAUUUUGACAAGUAAUUUUUGUGCCGCCCCGGCGUGUGCCGGUUUCAUCAACCACACAGUAUGCCAGGCCCAUUCAUGGCAAGAAAAGGGAGGCUGGGUGGACCUAUGUGUGGUGGCAGUAUUUGAUGUUUGUGAUGAGCAUGAUUUGUGUUAACAGUUUGUGGUGUGUAAGGGGCCUUGGUUGCAUAU